GCGAACGUUGGCGGCGUGCCUAACACAUGCAAGUCGUACGGCAGCGGGGCUCCUUCGGGAGCCGCCGGCGAGUGGCGAACGGGUGAGUAACGCGUGAGCAACCUACCCCGAGGAGGGGGAUAACCCGGGGAAACCCGGGCUAAUACCCCAUAAGCGCACGGCCCGCAUGGGCUGUGUGAAAAGGGUGGCCUCUGCUUUGCAUGCUGCCGCCUCGGGAUGGGCUCGCGUCCCAUCAGGUAGUUGGUGGGGUAACGGCCUACCAAGCCUACGACGGGUAGCCGGCCUGAGAGGGUGGUCGGCCACACCGGGACUGAGACACGGCCCGGACUCCUACGGGAGGCAGCAGUGGGGAAUAUUGGGCAAUGGCCGAAAGGCUGACCCAGCGACGCCGAGUGGAGGAAGAAGCCCUUCGGGGUGUAAACACCUGUCAGGGGGGAAGAUAAUGACGGUACCCCCAGAGGAAGGGACGGCUAACUACGUGCCAGCAGCCGCGGUAAUACGUA
This 503-nucleotide ribosomal RNA is filed under the name uncultured Desulfurobacterium sp. RNAcentral's name for it is "bacterial SSU rRNA". It matches the Rfam family "Bacterial small subunit ribosomal RNA", at positions 30 to 529 of the family's 1533-position model. The record is from RNAcentral. Lineage: Bacteria; Pseudomonadati; Aquificota; Aquificia; Desulfurobacteriales; Desulfurobacteriaceae.